RNAcentral lists this ribosomal RNA (504 nucleotides) under uncultured bacterium. Its description in RNAcentral is "partial 16S ribosomal RNA". It matches the Rfam family "Bacterial small subunit ribosomal RNA", at positions 30 to 523 of the family's 1533-position model. The record is from RNAcentral.
AUUGAACGCUGGCGGCAGGCCUAACACAUGCAAGUCGAACGGUAGCACAGAGAGCUUGCUCUCGGGUGACGAGUGGCGGACGGGUGAGUAAUGUCUGGGAAACUGCCCGAUGGAGGGGGAUAACUACUGGAAACGGUAGCUAAUACCGCAUAACGUCGCAAGACCAAAGAGGGGGACCUUCGGGCCUCUUGCCAUCAGAUGUGCCCAGAUGGGAUUAGCUAGUAGGUGGGGUAACGGCUCACCUAGGCGACGAUCCCUAGCUGGUCUGAGAGGAUGACCAGCCACACUGGAACUGAGACACGGUCCAGACUCCUACGGGAGGCAGCAGUGGGGAAUAUUGCACAAUGGGCGAAAGCCUGAUGCAGCCAUGCCGCGUGUAUGAAGAAGGCCUUCGGGUUGUAAAGUACUUUCAGCGGGGAGGAAGGCGUUGAGGUUAAUAACCUCAGCGAUUGACGUUACCCGCAGAAGAAGCACCGGCUAACUCCGUGCCAGCCGCCGCAGUAA